UACGUAGGGGGCGAGCGUUGUCCGGAAUUACUGGGCGUAAAGGGUGCGUAGGCGGUACAGCAAGUCGGAUGUGGAAUACCCGGGCUUAACCCGGGGGUGUCAUUUGAAACUGCUAUACUUGAGUGCAGAAGAGGAAAGCGGAAUUCCCAGUGUAGCGGUGAAAUGCGUAGAUAUUGGGAGGAACACCAGUGGCGAAGGCGGCUUUCUGGGCUGUAACUGACGCUGAAGCACGAAAGCGUGGGGAG
Molecule: ribosomal RNA, 245 nt
Filed under: uncultured Eubacteriales bacterium
Lineage: Bacteria; Bacillati; Bacillota; Clostridia; Eubacteriales
Description: uncultured Clostridiales bacterium partial 16S ribosomal RNA
Rfam family: Bacterial small subunit ribosomal RNA
Source: RNAcentral